Long non-coding RNA from Parus major (Great Tit), 2058 nucleotides. RefSeq lists it as uncharacterized. The transcript is spliced from 2 exons. NCBI's taxonomy places the organism in Eukaryota, Metazoa, Chordata, Aves, Passeriformes, Paridae. The record is from RefSeq and is a predicted model, not a curated record.
GUAAACCUGUGUGUGUUAGCCAAUAGUAGCUUGCUCUGCCCGUGGACCCUGUAGAACCCUAUAAAAGGUGUGCUAAAGAUAGAAAUAAACGGUGUUCACGUUUACUUCUGUGAAGGCUGGUGAAUAAACUGGCAGUCUCUCAAUAGGUUGGUUGUAUUUAAAAUGCUCACAAGAAAUAACGAAACUGGAGACAUACUGAUUAUAGCAAUAGUGGGUCCCAAAUGUGCACCUAUUACUUCUGUAGUUAACACUAGAGCCCAAAUUUCUAUGUUGACCAAUACAGACUAGUACAGGAUUUGAGAACAAUAGUGGAAUAACCAAAGAUAUUUACCCAGUGGUAGCUAAUCUUUGCACACUGUUAACAUCCGUAAAAGAGAAAUAGAAAUGGUUUACUGUAAUUGAUUUAAAAGAUGCCUUUUUCUGCAUACCCCUUGACAAAGAAAGUAGGAAACUGUUUGCCUUUGAAUGGGAAAGUCUAGAAAAUGGAAGGAAAACUCAGCUCACCUGAACACGACUCCCACAAAGAUACAAGAACAGUCCAACACUAUUUGGAAGUCAGCUGGCAAAGGAGCUGGAGAUUUGGACCGAGAAUGGGCAAGUAUGGAGAGAACAAUACCUGCUGUUACAGUAUGUUGAUGAUACACUGACAACUACAGAAGAGAAAACUACACCUGCAUAAAGAACUCCAGAACCUACAUGAGCUACAAGUUUUCCUUGAGAUGACAGAAUGGUGCUGUGGAUCAUGGAUUAUGGAGAAAUUGCAAAGCCCCUGCAUGAAGCCCAAAAGACACAGCUGUUUACCUGGGGCAAACCACAGAAGGAGGCCUUCCUCAAACUAAAGGAGGAUUGACAACUGCUCCGGUGUUAAGACUGCCUGAUUCAUCCAAGGAUUUUCACCUGUUUGUGCAUGAAAGACUGCACCUAGCACUGGGAGUGCUGAUCCAAUGUUUGGGAAGCUGGAAAAAGCUGGUAGGCUGCUUUUCCAAACAAUUUGACAACAUGAGUGCUGGAUGGCCUUCAUGCCUGCGGGCAGUUGCAGCCACUGUGAUGCUGAUACAAGAAGCUAGGAAACUCAUGAUGAGUAGACACAUAAAUGUCUACAUGCCACAUAUGAUAACCACUGUUUUAGAACAACAGGGGGGCCAUUGGCUAUCUCCAAGCAGGAGGAUGAAAUUUGAGGUAAUCCUGACUGGGCAGGAUGAUGUCACACUAAAGACAACUAACCUCUUGAAUCCAGCUUUUUUCCUAGGUACCACAAUUGAAGAAGGCCCAUUAGAGCACGACUGUGUAGAAGUAAUAGAGUACACCUAUUCAGCAAGAGAAGACCUGAAAGACAUCCCACUGGAGCAACCAGAGUGAGAGCUAUCUACAGUUGGAAACAGCAUCGUGGAGAACGGGACCAGAUACACUGGAUAUGCGGCAACAGCAGUCAGUACAAUAGUGGAGGCAAAAGCAUUAUCACCAAAUACAUCUGCCCAGAGGGCAGAACUGGUUGCCUUAAUCAGAACACUAGAAUUGAGUAAAGGGAAAUCAAAAAGCAGACUGGACAGCCCGACAGAUUGCUUGAGAAGUGCAAACAACAAUGGCAUUGAUACCUUUAAAAGUUAAUGUAUCUCAAUUUAAUUUGCCUCCAAAACCAAAAUAUUCAAUAGAAGAUGAGAAACUGGGACAUUUGCUAAAUGCACAAAAAGAUUUCAGGAGAGUGGUAUGUAACUGCACAAAGACAAACAGUGUUAACCCCCUUCAUAAUAAGAGAAGUUCUACAAAUUAAACAUAACAAAUGUCAUUGGGGUGCAGAGGCUUUGGUAAAAUUGCUAAAGCAAAAAUUAAUCUCGGUAUGGAUGCUAACAAUGGUAAAAUCAACUCAGCAGCUAGACACAGGCACAGCUAGGAAGGAUUAAGAUAGGAAUAGAAUCAAGAUAACACUUGUCAAGAACCUUCUAGUAGAGUGAAAUUUGGGUGGGCCCAAAGCAGAUAGCAAACUAUCAGAAUAGAGAAACUGGUCAGGUAGAUAGACUAGCAAGAGUCACCCAAGAAAGAUUUAAAGAACUAAACGUA